This 650-nucleotide ribosomal RNA is filed under the name Miropandalus hardingi. RNAcentral's name for it is "bacterial SSU rRNA". It matches the Rfam family "Eukaryotic small subunit ribosomal RNA", at positions 1176 to 1804 of the family's 1831-position model. Lineage: Eukaryota; Metazoa; Arthropoda; Malacostraca; Decapoda; Pandalidae. The record is from RNAcentral.
GUGGAGCCUGCGGCUUAAUUUGACUCAACACGGGAAAUCUCACCAGGCCCGGACACCAGAAGGAUUGACAGAUUAAGAGCUCUUUCUCGAUUUGGUGGGUGGUGGUGCAUGGCCGUUCUUAGUUGGUGGAGUGAUUUGUCUGGUUAAUUCCGGUAACGAACGAGACUCUGGCCUACUAAAUAGUCGACGCGGGUUUUGGUGCAUGGGCCCCGUUCGACAAUGUCUUCUUAGAGGGAUGAGCAGCGAGUAUAGCUGCAGGAGAUUGAGCAAUAACAGGUCUGUGAUGCCCUUAGAUGUCCUGGGCCGCACGCGCGCUACACUGAAUGGGUUAGCGGGUUUUCCUUCUCCGAGAGGAGCGGGAAAUCGCGUGAAAACCAUUCGUGAUAGGGAUUGGGGCUUGCAAUUGUUUCCCAUGAACGAGGAAUUCCCAGUAAGCGCAAGUCAUCAGCUUGCGUUGAUUAAGUCCCUGCCCUUUGUACACACCGCCCGUCGCUACUACCGAUUGAAUGAUUUAGUGAGGCCUUCGGACUGGCGGUCUUGGACUGGGCUCCGCAACCUCAGCAAUGGGGUGCGUCGGACCCGCCACUACGAGCCGGAAAGAUGUCCAAACUUGAUCAUUUAGAGGAAGUAAAAGUCGUAACAAGGUUUCC